CUUCCAGUUGUGACUCUUGCUAAGAACAAUCUAUUUGCCUUUGGGCUAAAAAAAUUCUUCAAUGGAAGUAAUUUAGCAAAACGAACUAAUCAGAGACACCAAACACCGCGAGUAUCGAUCGCAUUGAUUGGUUGAUGACUGAAGGAACUAAAAUAUGCAAUGUUCUCAUUGUGAUAAUGAAUGUAAGACCGUUCUGUUGACGAGGUAUGCAGACCUAAACACUUAAAGACUUAGAUUCGUUCUAGGGUCGCCAUAUCACGAUUCUUGUCAUUUCAUGAUCCAGCUUCUCCUCGUGUCAAAAUGCUGCUCAAUCUAGAAUAUCCAUCAUAUGUUAUUCCUUCACGCUCUGGAUUUUAACUCAUUCUUUUACUCUUUCCUAGGAAGUGUACAAAGUGCACUGUUUAUUGAAUAAUGACGUAAUACUAUUUUUGUAAUGAAGACUAAAGGUUUUGGUCCGCCAGACCUGGCCUACCUCAAGAGGAUCAACUCCUGGAAAUUUUUGGCUUCGACGAUCACGCUGAAAACCAAACUCCUCAGCACAUGUCAUCAAACAGAUAACCCCACUUACCACCAUCUCUACCUUUGAUCCAUCCUUAGACUCUUUCUCAAGCGAUAUCUGACCAUGCACAACUUUUCUGAAGCACAAAAAAAUCAACAUGUGCCACUCAUAAACACAUUCUCGAGAGCGAGCUCUUAAAGCCAGUAAAGUUCCAAAAUGUAAUUAAAUGUUCAACAUGCGGAUGAGAAACAAUUCUUAUUACUUUGAGAGUAAGUAAACAGUGAAAGCUGCUCCUCCCUGGAAGGGAAAAUUUUAAAAAUCGAAACUCCCCUACCCCCCAAGUCAAAUUAGCAUGAAAUUAGGAGAAGAAAUUCAGCAGCAACUGUGUCGCAUUCAAAUUAUGCUUAAGGGCGGAGCGGAACAUCCAUCCGCAAGAGACGCGGGGCGAGGCACAGCAGCAAUGAUAAGACCGAGCAAAUGGAGGAAACCUGGGCAAAACUGGAACAUGUCAGGAAGCACUUUUGAUUUGUAAAUCGGCAUGAAGAGAAAAAUAAGAAAGAAAAGGGGGGCUCUUGAGCGAGGCUAAUUAAACUAGGGAAUGUAAUCGUCGGGCGCUUUUCCCAUUGACUGGCAUGCCUA
This 1138-nucleotide long non-coding RNA is filed under the name Physcomitrium patens. RNAcentral describes it as "long non-coding RNA (PPAT_LNC011035)". The record is from RNAcentral. Lineage: Eukaryota; Viridiplantae; Streptophyta; Bryopsida; Funariales; Funariaceae.